This 212-nucleotide unclassified non-coding RNA is filed under the name Hevea brasiliensis (rubber tree). Lineage: Eukaryota; Viridiplantae; Streptophyta; Magnoliopsida; Malpighiales; Euphorbiaceae. The record is from RNAcentral.
UUUGAGACAAACAGAGAAACAAUCUUAUUUAAAGAUAGUCUUGAACUGGAAAAAGCAAACAUUGCAGGCUACUCACAGUGAGAAAGCUAAGCUUUACGGUUUACCAGGAUCAGCAAAUUAUGAAAGAGCUGAGAUAUUCUUCCCCAUGAGAUCUGAGCAGUAAAUCAUCCAGCGGAGCAAGACCCAACCGCAAAGAACAGAGCACUUGUGUC